CCUACGGGUGGCAGCAGUGAGGAAUAUUGGUCAAUGGCCGGAAGGCUGAACCAGCCAUGCCGCGUGAAGGUCAGUGCCCUAUGGGCGUUAAACUUCUUUUGUGCGGGAGCAAUCAUGGUCACGUGUGGCCAGACGAGAGUACCGUACGAAUAAGCAUCGCCUAACUCCGUGCCAGCAGCCGCGGUAAUACGGGGGAUGCACGCGUUAUCCGGAUUUAUUGGGGUUAAGGGGUGCGUAGGCUGUGAGGUAAGUCAGCGGUGAAAUGCCCCCGCGCAACGGGGUGAAGUGCCAUUGCUACUGCCUUGCUGGAAUGCGGAUGCCGUGGGAGGAAUGUGUGGUGUAGCGGUGAAAUGCAUAGAUAUCACACAGAACACCGAUUGCGAAGGCAUCUCACGAAUCCGCGAUUGACGCUGAUGCACGAAAGCGUGGGUAUCAAACAGGAUUAGAUACCCCUGUAGUC
Molecule: ribosomal RNA, 460 nt
Filed under: uncultured bacterium
Lineage: Bacteria
Description: partial 16S ribosomal RNA
Rfam family: Bacterial small subunit ribosomal RNA
Source: RNAcentral